Molecule: long non-coding RNA, 882 nt
Organism: Helianthus annuus (common sunflower)
Lineage: Eukaryota; Viridiplantae; Streptophyta; Magnoliopsida; Asterales; Asteraceae
Exons: 3
Source: RefSeq, a predicted model, not a curated record
GUGGAUACGAUAAGGAAGACAUAGCAGCUAGAGCUUAUGAAUUAGCAGCCCUCAAGUAUUGGGGUCCCACCACCACCACAAACUAUCCGGUUUGCAACUAUGAGAAAGAGCUUGAAGAAAUGAACAACAUGACUAGGCAAGAAAUAUGGAUUAAACUGCCAAUAAUGGUUUUAGAUUAAGAAAACCGAACCGACCAGGUGUCCUCUUUAUUCUUUGGUUCAAUCCAUGUGCACAACUCACUAUCACUUGUUCUUUUCAUUUGUGGAUUUCUGCCUUUGACAUAGGUAUGUAGAACUAAUUUUCUUGCAAUUUGAUUAUAAUACGUUCGAUAAUUACAUUAUCUGUUUCUGGUUUCUCUUCAUAUGUUUGCUUUAGACUUAGUUUUAAGGACGAGCACAAGCUCAAAAACACCUAAAUUUAUAACUACUAAAUUCCAUAAACAAGUGUAUAUUUUCUACUUUAUUUAAUUUUUCUGCAGCUUCUAUUUGUCUUGGUAUACCGAAUUACAUUGUUGGAAUUGAACCUUAACAGAGGAAUAGUUGACUAAGGCCAAAACCGGUUCAGAGCAGUGGAACCAGAAUAAUCAGUUGUUAGGCUUCAGACUUUCCCCUUGACAGUGGUUCAAACAACUGCUGAUCUAUAUUUCAGAUUUGUUUUAUCUACUGCUUAGCACAACAGCUGAUGUGAAGACUAAAAGAAUGCCAAAUACUAAGUACUGCUCUUCGAACUAUUGGCUUCAGUCAAGCAUUGCUGAGAAGACCAAAGCCCUGCUUGGAAUAAAGCAGUGGAAUAAAGAAACAGUUGUUUACUUUGUCUUAUUGUAAUAGGAUCAGUUGUUAGAUAACAAUGGAUGUAUAGAUCAGUUCUUAGAGUUAGUUGUUA